Molecule: ribosomal RNA, 1747 nt
Filed under: Salmonella enterica subsp. enterica serovar Enteritidis
Lineage: Bacteria; Pseudomonadati; Pseudomonadota; Gammaproteobacteria; Enterobacterales; Enterobacteriaceae
Description: partial 23S ribosomal RNA
Rfam family: Bacterial large subunit ribosomal RNA
Source: RNAcentral
GGGUUGUGAGGUUAAGCGACUAAGCGUACACGGUGGAUGCCCUGGCAGUCAGAGGCGAUGAAGGGCGUGCUAAUCUGCGAUAAGCGCCGGUAAGGUGAUAUGAACCGUUAUAACCGGCGAUACCCGAAUGGGGAAACCCAGUGUGAUUCGUCACACUAUCAUUAACUGAAUCCAUAGGUUAAUGAGGCGAACCGGGGGAACUGAAACAUCUAAGUACCCCGAGGAAAAGAAAUCAACCGAGAUUCCCCCAGUAGCGGCGAGCGAACGGGGAGGAGCCCAGAGCCUGAAUCAGCAUGUGUGUUAGUGGAAGCGUCUGGAAAGGCGCGCGAUACAGGGUGACAGCCCCGUACACAAAAGCGCAUGUGCUGUGAGCUCGAUGAGUAGGGCGGGACACGUGGUAUCCUGUCUGAAUAUGGGGGGACCAUCCUCCAAGGCUAAAUACUCCUGACUGACCGAUAGUGAACCAGUACCGUGAGGGAAAGGCGAAAAGAACCCCGGCGAGGGGAGUGAAAAAGAACCUGAAACCGUGUACGUACAAGCAGUGGGAGCACCCUUUGGGUGUGACUGCGUACCUUUUGUAUAAUGGGUCAGCGACUUAUAUUCUGUAGCAAGGUUAACCGAAUAGGGGAGCCGGAGGGAAACCGAGUCUUAACCGGGCGUUAAGUUGCAGGGUAUAGACCCGAAACCCGGUGAUCUAGCCAUGGGCAGGUUGAAGGUUGGGUAACACUAACUGGAGGACCGAACCGACUAAUGUUGAAAAAUUAGCGGAUGACCUGUGGCUGGGGGUGAAAGGCCAAUCAAACCGGGAGAUAGCUGGUUCUCCCCGAAAGCUAUUUAGGUAGCGCCUCGUGAAUUCAUCUCCGGGGGUAGAGCACUGUUUCGGCUAGGGGGCCAUCCCGGCUUACCAACCCGAUGCAAACUGCGAAUACCGGAGAAUGUUAUCACGGGAGACACACGGCGGGUGCUAACGUCCGUCGUGAAGAGGGAAACAACCCAGACCGCCAGCUAAGGUCCCAAAGUCAUGGUUAAGUGGGAAACGAUGUGGGAAGGCCCAGACAGCCAGGAUGUUGGCUUAGAAGCAGCCAUCAUUUAAAGAAAGCGUAAUAGCUCACUGGUCGAGUCGGCCUGCGCGGAAGAUGUAACGGGGCUAAACCAUGCACCGAAGCUGCGGCAGCGACACUGUGUGUUGUUGGGUAGGGGAGCGUUCUGUAAGCCUGUGAAGGUGUGUCGUGAGGCAUGCUGGAGGUAUCAGAAGUGCGAAUGCUGACAUAAGUAACGAUAAAGCGGGUGAAAAGCCCGCUCGCCGGAAGACCAAGGGUUCCUGUCCAACGUUAAUCGGGGCAGGGUGAGUCGACCCCUAAGGCGAGGCCGAAAGGCGUAGUCGAUGGGAAACGGGUUAAUAUUCCCGUACUUGGUGUUACUGCGAAGGGGGGACGGAGAAGGCUAUGUUGGCCGGGCGACGGUUGUCCCGGUUUAAGCGUGUAGGUGUGUGUUCCAGGUAAAUCCGGUUCACUUUAACACUGAGGCGUGACGACGAGGCACUACGGUGCUGAAGCAACAAAUGCCCUGCUUCCAGGAAAAGCCUCUAAGCAUCAGGUAACAUCAAAUCGUACCCCAAACCGACACAGGUGGUCAGGUAGAGAAUACCAAGGCGCUUGAGAGAACUCGGGUGAAGGAACUAGGCAAAAUGGUGCCGUAACUUCGGGAGAAGGCACGCUGACACGUAGGUGAAGUGAUUUACUCAUGG